Bombus huntii is the source of this 491-nucleotide long non-coding RNA. RefSeq lists it as uncharacterized. The transcript has 3 exons. The record is from RefSeq and is a predicted model, not a curated record. Lineage: Eukaryota; Metazoa; Arthropoda; Insecta; Hymenoptera; Apidae.
UAACAUUUAAUCCAUUUUCAGUCAUGAAAGAGGAAAAGGAAGAGCGAACUAAGUAGUCUAUAUGAGUCUAGAAUAACGUUCAACAACCGGCUUGGAACAUAUUAAAAGAGAAGAGAUGAAGAAAAGUAAAAUAUAAGAGAAUUGUUCCCAAGACACAUAUUUUAUGUCAAUAGCUACAAAGUGGUCAAUUCUGCUCUGGAUAGAAUAUCAUAUAAUGAAAAGAAGGGAAGGGAAGAAUAUCUAGUUUGCAUUAAUUAAAUUUUAUACAAAACCUUCAAUGAACUUGAACGAUCUACUUGGAAAAAUACCCACUUUUGAUAAAGAUAAUCCUGCUGUGGAGGCCUUGGUUGUGGUUUUGUGUAAGUUCCAGGCAAUUCUGCUGACACUAUGAGAUCUCUGGGCUUGGAAAAGUCACACUCCAAGAUAAAAGCAGCGUCACCAGGAGUAAUUAGCUCAUCGUCAUGCUGAAGAACCAAGGUGUUCCGAUAUUU